GCUCAACCCGUUUCACGAAUUCCUCGUUUUGUCAACGGAAACUUCCUUCAACUUUGCGGGGCAAGCGGUGGGUGAAUAAUGCGCAGUACAAAUUGCGCACAAAGACGCACAUACAUGUCAACACUUUUUGCCUCUUGUUACGGAAAGGAGGUAAUUAUGGUCAAUUUAUUGUUUGUGCGCCUUCAAUCAAACCAACAGACAAAUUAACAACGACUACCAUGCAGAAUUGUUUGAACAGCCAACCAUUGACUGGCACUGUUUGCAAUGCCGAGAGCAAACUGUAGCAAUUGAACCUAUCCAGUAACGGAUCCAAUGGUUGAUCAUUGAUUUCACUGUAAUAUCGCACGAUAAUUUUAUAAUCCCCAAUUUUUGGACACAUGGUUCAGUGGCGG
Long non-coding RNA from Eufriesea mexicana, 392 nucleotides. RefSeq lists it as uncharacterized. The record is from RefSeq and is a predicted model, not a curated record. The transcript has 3 exons. Lineage: Eukaryota; Metazoa; Arthropoda; Insecta; Hymenoptera; Apidae.